ACGAAACUUACAGAAAAUCUUCAAUCAUAUUAUAAUAAAUAUUCUAAUAAUAUUCACACAAAAUAAUUUCAGAAGAUAUUUCAUAUUUCUUAAUCAAAAGUAGAUUGAAGGAUGUGUGUGUCUUCAUUUCCGUUUCGAAGUACGUUGACAAGAGAAAUACCAAGUUAACUUCAUAUUCCCGGUGAACUGUAGAAUUAAUAUCGCCUCAUUAAAUCGAUUGUCAUCAUAUUUACGUUGGUCAUGACGUCACUAGAAUUUUGUUAUAUUUACUUGUUAGUUUUAGAAAUAAAGUACAUCAACACAUGAUCUGCCUUUUGGUCACAACCCUUGAGUCCUUAAAAAUCCACUAUCUUAGAACCCAAGGUAACGUUGUGACUAAGAUGCAUAGAAUACCGGGUGUGUUUACUAAUUCGAUUUUGUUUCAGACUUUUUGAGAGACCCACCUGUUGCGUUGGUGUUCUGCUUCACCAGAGUUCUGUUAGGGGGCGCUGUUCAAAAAUGUUCGAAUUGCCGCUGUCAGAUGAAAUUACAAUCAGUAUUUUCAAACUUAGCUUCUUUGAAAUUGAAAUUUUUUUCUUUUCUAUAUAAUUAAUCAUUCAUUGUUCGUAGUUUCAUUAUAGUUUUGUUCUUCAGUUCUUGUUAUUUUAGGUUAGUUUAUUCCAGUAGUUAGUUCGUAAGAAAUAGUUUUAAAUAGUGUAUAUAUAUAUAGGAUAAUUUUCGUGAAAUAUGGCGAUUUUGUAUGAGCAGUGCAAAGAUGGAGAUUCAUGUUUAUUCAGUUCCGAAGGUAAAUACAAAUUAUCCUGUAGUAUAUCCAACGGAGGCGAUCCAUAACUUACAGUGGAGGUGAUAUUGGGUAGGUGAAAAAACUUUCAGUCAAACUCCACCAAAUACUUUUAGCGGGAAUUAAUUCUUGUAAACAGAGAAAUGUAUCUGGGGGUCAGACCUCUUCUCAAACAUUCAUUAUUGAACCAUAUAUCUAACAUAACCAUUUUUCUCUUCAACAGGUUCUUCUUUUGACCUCGGAUCAGUGCAACCCGACUAGCAUAGUUUAUCCAACGGAGGCGAUCCAUAACUUACAGUGGAGGUGAUAUUGGGAUGAGAACAGGCGGAAGCAAUGGAUAGAUUCUGUGGGGAAAUAUCUACCUGUGGGUGCAUUUAUUUGCUCAAAGCAUUUUCCCAUUCAGUCCAUUGGUGCUCUGUAAUUUUUGAAGGGUUCCAAACCAUCAUUCAUAUCCCUGGUCGCUUUCAAUCUGGCUGACACUACACGUAUAAGAUACGAUGGUACGACGAAACCUUGUUACAAUUACAAGGUGUUGACGAUGAUGAAGGAGAAUUACGGCUUCAAGUGCCAUCGUGAAUUCAGUUAUUUGCUGAAGACGCGCCCACCGUUUGGCGACGAGUCGAUGCCUUCGUCCGAGAUAAACGUACGUUGGCGAACGACAUCGUCGAAAGCUGUGAGGAAGCGAUGCACCGGAAUUAUAAUCCGGAUUUUAAAUUUUACACGGUAUGUUUUAUGGAUUAUUUGCUACCAUAGUCCAGUAACGGUCUGCAUAUCAUCUUGUAAAUUGAACUGGCUGUUUUGAUGUUGAUUCCUAAGUUCUUGUACGUGAGUGAUCUGAAGUGUCCGGCUCGUGUGAUGGCUGCAUUUUUCUGUACCUUCAUAUGGCGUUUGAAAUUGAGUUUGUUUCUAAUAAUUGUAUAUUUCAUUUUCUUAUAAUUGUAUAUUUCAUUUUCUAAUAAUUGUAUAUUUCAUUUUCUAAUAAUUGUACAUUUCAUUUUCUAAUAAUUGUACAUUUCAUUUUCUAAUAAUUAUAUAUUUUAUUUAAUUUCCAUUUAAUAAUUAAUUUGUAUUUUCGAUUCUUUCUCAAUCUAUUUUGUUUCAAUAAAGUCUAUUCACAUAAUAACAAAAACCCAA
This is a long non-coding RNA of Harmonia axyridis, 1915 nucleotides long. RefSeq lists it as uncharacterized. The transcript has 3 exons. Lineage: Eukaryota; Metazoa; Arthropoda; Insecta; Coleoptera; Coccinellidae. The record is from RefSeq and is a predicted model, not a curated record.